AUUGAACGCUGGCGGCAUGCUUUACACAUGCCAGUCGAACGGUAACAGGCCUUCGGGUGCUGACGAGUGGCGAACGGGUGAGUAAUGCAUCGGAACGUACCCAGAGGUGGGGGAUAACGCAGCGAAAGCUGUGCUAAUACCGCAUGUGAUCUGAGGAUGAAAGCGGGGGACCGAGCAGCAAUGUUUGGCCUCGCGCCUUUGGAGCGGCCGAUGUCGGAUUAGCUAGUUGGUGGGGUAAAGGCCUACCAAGGCGACGAUCCGUAGCUGGUCUGAGAGGACGACCAGCCACACUGGGACUGAGACACGGCCCAGACUCCUACGGGAGGCAGCAGUGGGGAAUUUUGGACAAUGGGCGCAAGCCUGAUCCAGCAAUGCCGCGUGCGGGAAGAAGGCCUUCGGGUUGCAAACCGCUUUUGGCAGGAACGAAACGGUGUCCGCUAAUACCGGGCGCUAAUGACGGUACCUGCAGAAUAAGCACCGGCUAACUACGUG
RNAcentral lists this ribosomal RNA (492 nucleotides) under uncultured bacterium. RNAcentral describes it as "partial 16S ribosomal RNA". It matches the Rfam family "Bacterial small subunit ribosomal RNA", at positions 29 to 507 of the family's 1533-position model. The record is from RNAcentral.